This 244-nucleotide ribosomal RNA is filed under the name uncultured bacterium. RNAcentral's name for it is "partial 16S ribosomal RNA". It matches the Rfam family "Bacterial small subunit ribosomal RNA", at positions 335 to 572 of the family's 1533-position model. The record is from RNAcentral.
UACCUACGGGGGGCAGCAGUAGGGAAUCUUCCACAAUGGACGAAAGUCUGAUGGAGCAACGCCGCGUGAGUGAAGAAGGGUUUCGGCUCGUAAAGCUCUGCUGGGAGUGAAGAAAGAUAGAGGUAGUAACUGGCCUUUAUUUGACGGUAAUUACUUAGAAAGUCACGGCUAAAUAAGUGCCAGCAGCCGCGGUAAUACGUAGGGGGCAAGCGGUGUCCGGAUUUAUUGGGGGUAAAGAGAGUGC